RNAcentral lists this ribosomal RNA (253 nucleotides) under uncultured bacterium. RNAcentral describes it as "partial 16S ribosomal RNA". It matches the Rfam family "Bacterial small subunit ribosomal RNA", at positions 524 to 776 of the family's 1533-position model. The record is from RNAcentral.
UACGGAGGGUGCAAGCGUUAUCCGGAUUCACUGGGUUUAAAGGGUGCGUAGGCGGAUAUGUAAGUCCGUGGUGAAAUCUCCGGGCUUAACCCGGAAACUGCCAUGGAUACUAUGUGUCUUGAAUGUUGUUGAGGUGAGCGGAAUAUGUCAUGUAGCGGUGAAAUGCUUAGAUAUGACAUAGAACACCAAUUGCGAAGGCAGCUCACUAAGCAAAUAUUGACGCUGAGGCACGAAAGCGUGGGGAGCAAACAGG